RNAcentral lists this ribosomal RNA (402 nucleotides) under uncultured bacterium. Its description in RNAcentral is "bacterial SSU rRNA". It matches the Rfam family "Bacterial small subunit ribosomal RNA", at positions 355 to 774 of the family's 1533-position model. The record is from RNAcentral.
UGGGGAAUCUUGCACAAUGGGGGAAACCCUGAUGCAGCGACGCCGCGUGAACGAUGAAGCCCUUCGGGGUGUAAAGUUCUUUCGACAGGAACGAUAAUGACGGUACCUGGAGAAGAAGCUGCGGCUAACUACGUGCCAGCAGCCGCGGUAAUACGUAGGCAGCGAGCGUUGUUCGGAGUUACUGGGCGUAAAGAGUGCGUAGGCGGCGAGCCAAGUUUGGUGUGAAAUCUCCCGGCUUAACCGGGAGGGUGCGCCGAAAACUGGUUGGCUGGAGUAUGGGAGAGGAAAGCGGAAUUCCUGGUGUAGCGGAGAAAUGCGUAGAUAUCAGGAGGAACACCUGCGGUGUAGACAGCUUUCUGGACCAAAACUGACGCUGAGGCACGAAAGCGUGGGUAGCAAACA